This 253-nucleotide ribosomal RNA is filed under the name uncultured bacterium. Its description in RNAcentral is "partial 16S ribosomal RNA". It matches the Rfam family "Bacterial small subunit ribosomal RNA", at positions 524 to 776 of the family's 1533-position model. The record is from RNAcentral.
UACGGAGGGUGCGAGCGUUAAUCGGAAUUACUGGGCGUAAAGAGCACGUAGGCGGCAAAGUCAGUUCGAUGUGAAAUCCCUGGGCUUAACCUAGGAAUUGCAUUGAAUACUGCUUGGCUAGAGUGUGACAGAGGGUGGUGGAAUUCCCGGUGUAGCGGUGAAAUGCAUAGAUAUCGGGAGGAACAUCGAUGGCGAAGGCAGCCACCUGGGUCAACACUGACGCUGAGGUGCGAAAGCGUGGGGAGCAAACAGG